This 429-nucleotide ribosomal RNA is filed under the name Gemmatimonadota bacterium. RNAcentral describes it as "Gemmatimonadetes bacterium partial 16S ribosomal RNA". It matches the Rfam family "Bacterial small subunit ribosomal RNA", at positions 355 to 776 of the family's 1533-position model. The record is from RNAcentral. Lineage: Bacteria; Pseudomonadati; Gemmatimonadota.
UAGAGAAUCUUCGGCAAUGGACGAAAGUCUGACCGAGCAACGCCGCGUGAGUGAAGAAGGUUUUCGGAUCGUAAAACUCUGUUCUUAGAGAAGAACAAGGACGUUAGUAACUGAACGUCCCCUGACGGUAUCUAACCAGAAAGCCACGGCUAACUACGUGCCAGCAGCCGCGGUAAUACGUAGGUGGCAAGCGUUGUCCGGAUUUAUUUGGCGUAAAGCGAGCGCAGGCGGUUUCUUAUGUCUGAUGUGAAAGCCCCCGGCUCAACCGGGGAGGGUCAUUGGAAACUGGGAGGCUUGGGUGCAGAAGAGGAGAGUGGAAUUCCAUGUGUAGCGGUGAAAUACGAAAAUAUAUGGAGGAACACCAGUGGCGAAGGCGGCUCUCUGGUCUGUAACUAACGCUGAGGCUCAAAAGCGUGGGGCGCAAACAGG